RNAcentral lists this ribosomal RNA (253 nucleotides) under uncultured bacterium. RNAcentral describes it as "partial 16S ribosomal RNA". It matches the Rfam family "Bacterial small subunit ribosomal RNA", at positions 524 to 776 of the family's 1533-position model. The record is from RNAcentral.
UACGUAGGGUGCGAGCGUUGUCCGGAUUUAUUGGGCGUAAAGGGCUCGUAGGCGGUCCGUCACGUCGGAAGUGAAACCCCGGGGCUUAACUCCGGGCCUGCUUUCGAUACGGGCGGACUUGAGUUCGGUAGGGGAGACCGGAAUUCCUGGUGUAGCGGUGGAAUGCGCAGAUAUCAGGAGGAACACCGAUGGCGAAGGCAGGUCUCUGGGCCGAUACUGACGCUGAGGAGCGAAAGCGUGGGGAGCGAACAGG